Molecule: ribosomal RNA, 453 nt
Filed under: uncultured Desulfobulbus sp.
Lineage: Bacteria; Pseudomonadati; Thermodesulfobacteriota; Desulfobulbia; Desulfobulbales; Desulfobulbaceae
Description: bacterial SSU rRNA
Rfam family: Bacterial small subunit ribosomal RNA
Source: RNAcentral
AAGCGGUGGAGCAUGUGGUUAAUUCGAAGCAACGCGAAGAACUUACCAGGUCUUGACAUCCCGAUGCUAUUUCUAGAGAUAGAAAGUUACUUCGGUACAUCGGUGACAGGUGGUGCAUGGUUGUCGUCAGCUCGUGUCGUGAGAUGUUGGGUUAAGUCCCGCAACGAGCGCAACCCUUGCCUUUAGUUGCCAGCAGUUCGGCUGGGCACUCUAAAGGGACUGCCGGUGUUAAACCGGAGGAAGGUGGGGAUGACGUCAAGUCCUCAUGGCCUUUAUGACCAGGGCUACACACGUACUACAAUGGCCGAUACAAAGGGCAGCGACAUUGCGAAAUGAAGCCAAUCCCAUAAAUUCGGUCUCAGUCCGGAUUGGAGUCUGCAACUCGACUCCAUGAAGUUGGAAUCGCUAGUAAUCGUGGAUCAGCAUGCCACGGUGAAUACGUUCCCGGGCCUU